Molecule: non-coding RNA, 37 nt
Organism: Polaribacter sp. Hel1_33_78
Lineage: Bacteria; Pseudomonadati; Bacteroidota; Flavobacteriia; Flavobacteriales; Flavobacteriaceae
Source: Rfam
UUUAAUAAUCAAGGUCGAGAACCUUAAAAAAUUAACA